Molecule: long non-coding RNA, 873 nt
Organism: Colius striatus (speckled mousebird)
Lineage: Eukaryota; Metazoa; Chordata; Aves; Coliiformes; Coliidae
Exons: 3
Source: RefSeq, a predicted model, not a curated record
GCCUCCAAUGAGACUUCAUCGCCCACCAGACUUUUUUGUUUGCAAACACCAAGUCUAGCAAGGCGCCUUCCAUCAUUGGCACUCUCACUAGCUGCAUGAGGAAGUUAUUUUCCACGCACUCCAGGAACCUCCUGGACUGUCUCCUCUCUGCUGUGUUGUAUUUCCAGCAGAUAUCAGGUGUUCUCCUCAUCCCUAACCUCAUCUCCUCAUCUCCUCAUCAUCCUCAUCUCCUAACCAAAGGGAUAGUGGAGAACACUACUUGUGCUCCUGAACCAGAUGUCUCAAGGCCCUGAAGUCUUCCUUGAUAGCCCUUAGAUUUCUGCUUGACACUUCAUCACUACCCACCUGGAAAAUGAACAAUGGAUAGUAGUUUGUUGGCUGUAGCAAGAAGAUGUUUUGAUAUUGGGCACUGACUGUCUGAAUGUUGGUAACUGCUCCAGUCGAGGUGAGCCCUCAUCCUGAUCACUGCUCAGCUCCGUUUGCAGAUCCACAUACCUAUUCUGUAAGGGUAAGGACACCUGGGAAGGUGGAGAAAUCACAAGAGACACUCAUCUGCUGUGCCGGACAGCAACCUGCUGCUUUUGCCCUCCGUCCCUUGAGUCCCUGGAUUCAGCUGGCCUAAGAGAGGAGGGGGAAUCCCCUGGGUUAUAUGCCUAUUUUACCUGCCACAGGGAGGGUAAGGUAUGAUCCCAAUAGUCUAUCUCCUACUCACAUUCUGUGAUACGCUUCAGCAUACUCACCUCCUCGCAGAGCUCUGCCUCCAGGUGCUGAAGACGACGGGAGACAAGCCCACCCUGUAGUGCAACAAGUCUCAACUUUAUUUGCAAAGAUACAGCUCUUUUAUAGAUACAAUAAUCAGGCUCAUACAUAUUG